RNAcentral lists this small nuclear RNA (23 nucleotides) under Arabidopsis thaliana (thale cress). RNAcentral describes it as "snRNA_07505". Lineage: Eukaryota; Viridiplantae; Streptophyta; Magnoliopsida; Brassicales; Brassicaceae. The record is from RNAcentral.
GAUACAGAUAUGGGCAUCAUGCC